RNAcentral lists this ribosomal RNA (119 nucleotides) under Hordeum vulgare subsp. vulgare (domesticated barley). The record is from RNAcentral. Lineage: Eukaryota; Viridiplantae; Streptophyta; Magnoliopsida; Poales; Poaceae.
GGAUGCGACCAUACCAGCACUAAAGCACCGGAUCCCAUUAGAACUCCAAAGUUAAGCGUGCUUGGGCGAGAGUAGUACUAGGAUGGGUGACCUCCUGGGAAGUCCUCGUGUUGCAUUCC